GACAGACGGGGCAAGCGUUAUCCAUCAUCACUAGGUGUAAAAGGUGCGUAGCCAUGUUUAUAAAAGUAACUAAAUAAUAUAAAAUUUAUACGUAAUUAUAAAUCUUAUUUAGUCUUUAGAAAACUCGAGAAAAAAAAAGAUAAGGGGAAUCCCUAGUGUAGGGUUGAAAUCCAUAGAUAUUAGUGAGACAGCUAAUGACGCAAGCACCUUGUUAUUUUUUUCUGACGUUGAGGCACGUAGGUCUGGGUAGCAAAUGGG
RNAcentral lists this ribosomal RNA (258 nucleotides) under uncultured bacterium. Its description in RNAcentral is "partial 16S ribosomal RNA". It matches the Rfam family "Bacterial small subunit ribosomal RNA", at positions 524 to 776 of the family's 1533-position model. The record is from RNAcentral.